GGCAGCCUCAUGAGGCGAGGGCUACGGCUGACCCUACUUCCACUGUGGCCCACCACAUUGUCGGCUCAACGGCACGGAACCCUAGCAUUGUUCUCAUUUCUGAUGCAACUCAUCUUUUCUCUCUUGUUCCUUCAUCGUUGUUUCCCUAUUCCCUCUCACAGUGUGCCGCUCUCCUCUCGCUGUCCGCCGCCGCCGAUCAUAUGGAGCACAACGAGUGCAUCCAUGAAAUCCUUGCCUACCUUCCGCCGCCGCCAGCCUCCACCAACACCACUUCCCCAUCUGAUAGAACCGGCAUCAGCCAGCUCCCACUCGAGCUCCUCGCGACCUUGUGUCCCGCCUGCCUGCCGCCAAUGGGAUUUGUGCCCCUCGUCCUCGAUGACGCACUGUUUUGUCCCCUAGUGGGCCACGUUGCCAAGGGCUUCCAAAAACACUCUGCGGUGGUGAAAACAGUGUCGCGCGCCACCGACUCCCACCCAGGCCCCUUCCACUCCGUCCAACUCACUGUCACCAGCUUCAACCGCCACGACAGCCUCAGGUAUAGUAUCCGUGCCUUGGAACGCAAUGACAAUUGGCAUGUGCUAUGCCGCCACCCUCCAGCCCAAGAUCCUCACCUGCACCUCCAUGGUGUGCCACACUGUCGCGCUCUUUGGCCGUUGACCCUGAGGGCCAGCAAAGCCGUCUUCCUGUCGAGCCUGCGGGAGCUCAUCUUGUGCGAGGGCUACACUCAAGCUAAUGACUUUGACCGGUUGCUCGUCAGCUGCCCUAAGAUUGAGCUGCUCUCGUUGAUCAACCCCAAUGACAUGCCCUUUUCCAUGGACAUCCUGAGCCCCACCAUGAAAAGCUUGGUUCUCUCUAUGGUCCAUAUGAAGGAGCUCAACUUCCUGGAAGCUCCAUCCCUUGAGCGUGCCAUCAUCUGGAGACCAAUCAUAGUCAUAAUCUAUGAUACUCCUUGUCCAUCGUCAUCUUGUGUUUUCCCUGAUAAGCAUCUUGUGUUUUCCAUUUUAUGCGUCUGCUCACAACUUACAAAGUUCAUGUUCUACAAUCUACAUGGAGUGGUUCUCAGUGAUCUUGCAUUCAUUAAAGCCCGCCUCCGCGAGAUCCUCGCCUACCUUCCGCCGCCGCCAGCCUCCAGCAACACCUCCGCUGGCCCACCCGACGGCGCCGGCGCCGGCGCGGUAUUAACCCCCUCCUCGAGCUCGCGCGCGCGCGACGGCGACCGCAUCAGCCAGCUCCCGGCGAAGCUCCUCCAGGACGUCGUGUCCCGUCUGCCGGCCGCCGACGGCGCCCGCACCACGGCGCUGUCCCGCCCCUGGGCCCGGAUCUGGGGCUUCGUGCCCCUCGUCCUCGACGACGCCCUCUUCGUGAUCCCCACCACGCCCCAAGCCGGCGCCGGCGCCGGCGCCGUCACCGGGCGGAUCAGCUCCAGAUCGCACCACGCCACGGUGGUGGUGGACAAGAUGUCGCGUGCCAUCGACUCCCACCCGGGCCCCUUCCGCAGCGUCCGGCUCACAAGCACCAACUUCCACCGCCACGACCGCCUCGGCCACUGGAUCCGCGCCAUGGGACGCAAGGGCGGCGUCGAGGAUCUCGUCCUCGUCCACCCCGGCGGCGUGGCCCGCGCCGUCACCCUCCCGCCCGAGGUUCUCACCUGCACCUCCAUGGUGCGCCUCGCCGUCGCGCGCUGCGGCCUGCCCCCGUACGCCGACGUCGACCUGCCGAGACUGCGGGAGCUCGUCCUAUGCGAGGGCCACUUCCGGGCGGCCAACGAGCUGGGCCGGAUGCUCGCCGGCUGCCCUAAGCUCGAGUCGCUCACGCUGAUCAACCCCAACGACAUGCCCUUUUCGGCCAUGGAAGUCGCUGGGACGAAGAUCAGCCCGUCUUUAACGAUCCCUAGUGUCGAGACCCUGGCUAUAAAACUAUCGUUUGGAUCAAAAGAGCAAGAGAAUAGGCUUUUGUCCUUUCUGAAGAUAUUUCCAAAUGUCAAGACUCUAUAUGUGAUGCGUGAUGUAGAUUUCUGGAUGAAGAACCUUGGAUCCAUUUUAUGUGUCCAUUCACAACUUACAAAGUUCACGUUCUAUAAUCUACAUGGAGUGGUUCUCGGUGAUCUUCCAUUCAUUAGAGCAGUCAUGGGGACAGCUAGAUUGCUAAAGGAGAUGCGUCUUUUCCCAUGUGACAAAAUCUUCUUUAAUCGGUAA
RNAcentral lists this long non-coding RNA (2195 nucleotides) under Oryza sativa Indica Group (long-grained rice). RNAcentral describes it as "lncRNA OsZS97_01G023060". Lineage: Eukaryota; Viridiplantae; Streptophyta; Magnoliopsida; Poales; Poaceae. The record is from RNAcentral.